This 497-nucleotide ribosomal RNA is filed under the name uncultured bacterium. Its description in RNAcentral is "partial 16S ribosomal RNA". It matches the Rfam family "Bacterial small subunit ribosomal RNA", at positions 28 to 507 of the family's 1533-position model. The record is from RNAcentral.
GAUGAACGCUGGCGGCGUGCCUAAUACAUGCAAGUCGAGCGAACAGAUGAGGAGCUUGCUCCUCUGACGUUAGCGGCGGACGGGUGAGUAACACGUGGAUAACCUACCUAUAAGACUGGGAUAACUUCGGGAAACCGGAGCUAAUACCGGAUAAUAUAUUGAACCGCAUGGUUCAAUAGUGAAAGACGGUUUUGCUGUCACUUAUAGAUGGAUCCGCGCCACAUUAGCUAGUUGGUAAGGUAACGGCUUACCAAGGCAACGAUGCGUAGCCGACCUGAGAGGGUGAUCGGCCACACUGGAACUGAGACACGGUCCAGACUCCUACGGGAGGCAGCAGUAGGGAAUCUUCCGCAAUGGGCGAAAGCUUGACGGAGCAACGCCGCGUGAGUGAUGAAGGUCUUCGGAUCGUAAAACUCUGUUAUUAGGGAAGAACAAAUGUGUAAGUAACUAUGCACGUCUUGACGGUACCUAAUCAGAAAGCCACGGCUAACUACGUG